Molecule: transfer RNA, 74 nt
Filed under: Verrucomicrobiota bacterium
Lineage: Bacteria; Pseudomonadati; Verrucomicrobiota
Also listed under: 2 other names
Description: Verrucomicrobia bacterium (groundwater metagenome) tRNA-Pro
Rfam family: tRNA
About the family: Transfer RNA (tRNA) molecules are approximately 80 nucleotides in length. Their secondary structure includes four short double-helical elements and three loops (D, anti-codon, and T loops).
Source: RNAcentral
CGGGGCGUAGCGCAGUCUGGUAGCGCGUUUGGUUCGGGUCCAAAAAGUCGUGAGUUCAAAUCUCACCGCCCCGA